Molecule: ribosomal RNA, 548 nt
Filed under: uncultured bacterium
Lineage: Bacteria
Description: bacterial SSU rRNA
Rfam family: Bacterial small subunit ribosomal RNA
Source: RNAcentral
UGGGGAAUUUUGGACAAUGGGCGCAAGCCUGCUCCAGCCAUGCCGCGUGCGGGAAGAAGGCCUUCGGGUUGUAAACCGCUUUUGUCAGGGAAGAAAUCCUUUGGGCUAAUACCCCGGGGGGAUGACGGUACCUGAAGAAUAAGCACCGGCUAACUACGUGCCAGCAGCCGCGGUAAUACGUAGGGUGCAAGCGUUAAUCGGAAUUACUGGGCGUAAAGCGUGCGCAGGCGGUUAUGCAAGACAGAUGUGAAAUCCCCGGGCUCAACCUGGGAACUGCAUUUGUGACUGCAUGGCUAGAGUGCGGCAGAGGGGGACGGAAUUCCGCGUGUAGCAGUGAAAUGCGUAGAUAUGCGGAGGAACACCGAUGGCGAAGGCAAUCCCCUGGGCCUGCACUGACGCUCAUGCACGAAAGCGUGGGGAGCAAACAGGAUUAGAUACCCUGGUAGUCCACGCCCUAAACGAUGUCAACUGGUUGUUGGGAAGGUUCCUUCUCAGUAACGUAGCUAACGCGUGAAGUUGACCGCCUGGGGAGUACGGCCGCAAGGUUG